RNAcentral lists this ribosomal RNA (254 nucleotides) under uncultured bacterium. Its description in RNAcentral is "partial 16S ribosomal RNA". It matches the Rfam family "Bacterial small subunit ribosomal RNA", at positions 524 to 776 of the family's 1533-position model. The record is from RNAcentral.
UACGGAGGGGGCUAGCGUUGUUCGGAUUGACUGGGCGUAAAGCGCGCGUAGGCGGAUCAUGCAAGUCAGGGGUGAAAGCCCGGGGCUCAACCCCGGAAUGGCCUUUGGGACUGCUGGUCUUGAGUUCGAGAUAGGUGGGUGGAAUUCCGAGUGUAGAGGUGAAAUUCGUAGAUAUUCGGAGGAACACCAGUGGCGAAGGCGGCCCACUGGCUCGACACUGACGCUGAGGCGCGAAAGCGUGGGGAGCAAACAGG